AUUUGUAGCAAGAGACUGAACUGGUCC
Molecule: non-coding RNA, 27 nt
Filed under: Cricetulus griseus (Chinese hamster)
Lineage: Eukaryota; Metazoa; Chordata; Mammalia; Rodentia; Cricetidae
Source: RNAcentral